This 1307-nucleotide long non-coding RNA is filed under the name Capsella rubella. RNAcentral's name for it is "long non-coding RNA (CRUB_LNC003541)". Lineage: Eukaryota; Viridiplantae; Streptophyta; Magnoliopsida; Brassicales; Brassicaceae. The record is from RNAcentral.
ACUUUUACAGCGUAGGACGAGAGAAUAAGCAUAAAGAAGAACCUCUCUCACUCACCACAGUUAAAUCAAAAUUAUCUUAUGACAUAAAUAUACAACCAUAUGCAGGUUCCAACAUGAUUUUUUUUAUUUAUAUAAUACAUAUUUCCUUUUCUAGGUGUUGAGUAAAGUUGAAAAAAAAUAAAGUUAGUAAAUUGUGACAAAUCCUUUAACUAUGUCAUAAAUGAAAUUUAAUUCUGUAAUUACUAAGAAAUCAAAUACUGAAAUAAGAAGGAAAAACAAAUAAAAGGGAAUAGUCAGAGGAAUGUGGGCUUUGAGUUGGACCCAUUUUUGGACUAAUAAGAGUAUAUGAAAGUGAUGUCUCAUAAACUUUUUUUUUACUUCUUCUCUCAAGUGAAACUACACUUCUUCUCUCAUUCAUGUGAACCUGCGCUUCUUCUCCUUUGUUUUCUCAUUCAUUCAUUUUUACUUACCUCUUCUUUUUGUUUCCCUCGAAUAAAAAACAUAAUAUCAAAGAUGCUUGCUAUAUGGGGAAAAGUUUAAUUAUUAUUUUCAGAAAAGCAUCACGAGAUUGCUAUAUAGCUAAGUACACCUGGAUGUAAGAGUUUUUUUUACAGUAUUUUCUUUCUUUUUUUGAUGAUUGGAAAUUUGGGAGUAUGAGUUUAGUUUAUAUAUAUUUAAGUUUACUAUUUAUCAUUGUUAGUCAUUAUUAUAUAGUAAAAGUUAAAAAAAAAACAUCUAAAUCUAUAUAUUCGUUUUGUAGAUAUAUAUAAAAAAAACUCACAUGUCCACCAUGGCAGCUACCUCCUCUGGCUUCUCAACUGCAUGUUCAUGCCAUGUUUCAUUGGACCUGUUUUUUUUUUAACAAAACAUUUAUUAUUAUUAUUAUUAUACAAUCCAACAAAUUAUUGUCUCAUUUAUCACUUGCUAUAUAUAUUAAUAUAUCAAAAUUUAUUUACACACUGCUUUUUGUUUCCUUAUUUCUUUUCAAUUGAUCGAUAACUAUAGAAUUAGUAUGCAUGUCGCUAAUAUCAGGGAUGAUCAAAUUAUAUUUGAAAACUCAUCGAUCAAAACCAGCAAUACGGACCUCUUCAAGGUGUAUACAUACAGUAUAUAUUAAGGGGGGAAAUAAAUCAGGUUUCUGCAUUCUUGAUGAACGCUCACUAAUUCUUGGUGAACAGCAGAACAAGAACACGUAGAAUCAAAGCUACAUUGAGCUAGAAACUCUUUGAUGGAUCAUGGAUGUCAUACGUCUAACUAACCAAUGUAUAAAAUGAAGUGAGAAUCAUGAUGAUGAUACUAAAGUGAUU